RNAcentral lists this ribosomal RNA (319 nucleotides) under Starmerella floricola. Its description in RNAcentral is "partial 18S ribosomal RNA". It matches the Rfam family "Eukaryotic large subunit ribosomal RNA", at positions 169 to 491 of the family's 3401-position model. The record is from RNAcentral. Lineage: Eukaryota; Fungi; Ascomycota; Dipodascomycetes; Dipodascales; Trichomonascaceae.
UGGGACCUGGUGCUAUAAGUCUUCUGGAAAGGAGCGCCCAUGGAGGGUGAUAGCCCCGUGAAGCACUAACCCCCAUUGUAGGAUCUUGGCAUGGAGUCGAGUUGUUUGGGAAUGCAGCUCAAAUGGGUGGUAUGCUCCAUCUAAAGCUAAAUAUCUGCCGAGAGACCGAUAGCGAACAAGUACUGUGAAGGACAAGAUGAAAAGAACUUUGAAAAGACAGUGAAAUAGUACGUGAAAUUGUUGAAAUGGAAGGAUAGGCCGCUAACCAUGCAGAAAUCGUGUUUAGGGGGAGGACAAAAGCUGUAUAUUUCAUCUUCUU